GCCCGCUUAGCUCAGCGGUUAGAGCAUCGCCUUUGUAAUGCGAUGGUCAUCGGUUCGAUUCCGAUAGCUGGCU
RNAcentral lists this transfer RNA (73 nucleotides) under Cuscuta polyanthemos. RNAcentral describes it as "tRNA-Thr". It matches the Rfam family "tRNA". From Rfam's summary of the family: Transfer RNA (tRNA) molecules are approximately 80 nucleotides in length. The record is from RNAcentral. RNAcentral also lists the same sequence under 4 other names. Lineage: Eukaryota; Viridiplantae; Streptophyta; Magnoliopsida; Solanales; Convolvulaceae.